UACAGAGGUCCCAAGCGUUGUUCGGAUUCACUGGGCGUAAAGGGUGCGUAGGUGGCGGGGUAAGUCUGAUGUGAAAUCUCCGAGCUUAACUCGGAAACUGCAUCGGAUACUGCCUUGCUCGAGGGUUGGAGGGGGGACUGGAAUACUUGGUGUAGCAGUGAAAUGCGUAGAUAUCAAGUGGAACACCAGUGGCGAAGGCGAGUCCCUGGACAACUCCUGACACUGAGGCACGAAAGCUAUGGGAGCAAACAGG
This 253-nucleotide ribosomal RNA is filed under the name uncultured bacterium. RNAcentral describes it as "partial 16S ribosomal RNA". It matches the Rfam family "Bacterial small subunit ribosomal RNA", at positions 524 to 776 of the family's 1533-position model. The record is from RNAcentral.